RNAcentral lists this transfer RNA (72 nucleotides) under Plasmopara halstedii. It matches the Rfam family "tRNA". From Rfam's summary of the family: Transfer RNA (tRNA) molecules are approximately 80 nucleotides in length. Their secondary structure includes four short double-helical elements and three loops (D, anti-codon, and T loops). Further hydrogen bonds mediate the characteristic L-shaped molecular structure. tRNAs have two regions of fundamental functional importance: the anti-codon, which is responsible for specific mRNA codon recognition, and the 3' end, to which the tRNAs corresponding amino acid is attached (by aminoacyl-tRNA synthetases). tRNAs cope with the degeneracy of the genetic code in two manners: having more than one tRNA (with a specific anti-codon) for a particular amino acid; and 'wobble' base-pairing, i.e. permitting non-standard base-pairing at the 3rd anti-codon position. The record is from Rfam by way of RNAcentral. Lineage: Eukaryota; Oomycota; Peronosporomycetes; Peronosporales; Peronosporaceae.
GGUGCCAUAGCGUAGUGGUAAACAGCUCGCUUCACAAACGAGUGGUCGGUGGUUCGACUCCACCUGGUGCCU